GCUGGUCCAAAAACGCGACACCUGACGCCAUAUGAGGUGAGCUAAUAGACAUCACCUGUGAGACAGACUCGUGACGCGCUGUGGACUGAUUGACAGUGGAGCGCACGUGAGAGAGGGGCUGGAGGAGGGGGUCUUUCUCCCAGUGCCGCAGCUACGACACAGUGGGUCCCUGGCUGCCCCUCGCCCGCACGGUUGGACUGAUCUUAUUUUUCAAAAGCACUGCAGUCUCUCAACCUGAACCAGACCAGAGAAUACGUGUCUGGUCUUAAUUAAAAGCAAGAGGUGCUGCAGCUACAUCAGGCAGACUACCCGGCUGCUGAGAUAGAGCAGCCGAGGAAGUUCCUAUGGGCAGUGACUCGCUGCUGCUAGCUGUGUUGGAGGAGGAGUUGUGGUGAGGAGUAGCUGGAGGAAGAGGAGGAGGAAGGCAG
This is a long non-coding RNA of Xiphias gladius (swordfish), 428 nucleotides long. RefSeq lists it as uncharacterized. Lineage: Eukaryota; Metazoa; Chordata; Actinopteri; Istiophoriformes; Xiphiidae. The record is from RefSeq and is a predicted model, not a curated record. The transcript has 3 exons.